Molecule: transfer RNA, 73 nt
Filed under: Paramuricea clavata
Lineage: Eukaryota; Metazoa; Cnidaria; Anthozoa; Malacalcyonacea; Plexauridae
Rfam family: tRNA
About the family: Transfer RNA (tRNA) molecules are approximately 80 nucleotides in length.
Source: Rfam by way of RNAcentral
GGCCAAUUAGCUCAGUCGGCAGAGCGUGGUGCUAAUACCGGUAAGGUCGUGAGUUCGAUCCUCACACAGGCCA